UGGGGAAUAUUGCGCAAUGGGCGAAAGCCUGACGCAGCAACACCGCGUGAGGGAUGACGGCCUUCGGGUUGUAAACCUCUUUCAGCUCCGACGAAGCGAAAGUGACGGUAGGAGCAGAAGAAGCACCGGCUAACUACGUGCCAGCAGCCGCGGUAAUAUGUAGGGUGCAAGCGUUGUCCGGAAUUAUUGGGCGUAAAGAGCUCGUAGGCGGUCCGUUGCGUCUGCCGUGAAAACCCGGAGCUCAACUCCGGGCCUGCGGUGGAUACGGGCGGACUAGAGUCCGGUAGGGGAGACUGGAAUUCCUGGUGGUAGCGGUGGAAUGCGCAGAUAUCAGGAGGAACACCGGUGGCGAAGGCGGGUCUCUGGGCCGGAACUGACGCUGAGGAGCGAAAGCGUGGGG
RNAcentral lists this ribosomal RNA (400 nucleotides) under uncultured bacterium. RNAcentral describes it as "bacterial SSU rRNA". It matches the Rfam family "Bacterial small subunit ribosomal RNA", at positions 355 to 766 of the family's 1533-position model. The record is from RNAcentral.